Molecule: non-coding RNA, 959 nt
Organism: Vicugna pacos (alpaca)
Lineage: Eukaryota; Metazoa; Chordata; Mammalia; Artiodactyla; Camelidae
Source: RefSeq, a predicted model, not a curated record
UGUGCUGUUCCCAUCUUAGCAUUUUAAAGAUCAGUAGCACAUAUUUAUGCUAGAAUUUUAUUGCCCUAAGUAGAUGAAACUUCUUUUGGAUAACCCACGGCCAUCUGUUUCACCUUGAAAUUUUAUGCCACUGAAAUUUUGUUUUCAGACUUUCUUGAGCUUUUAUAUAAUGCAGGCUUGGUUGAUGGCAGGGUUUGUGGGCUGGGAGAGUCCAGCAUGGAUUUUAUCCUUUUGGACAAUUCAGAGUGGUGGUAAUUUUUGCCCUUUUAGGGCAAAGAAGGUGCUGUGGGAGACCUGAGAGGAUCUGGGAAGGCUUGGGCAGUUUCUUCCAGCAGGAGUAGGCAAAGGAAGAGAAAGAGAGGGCAGAGCUGUUGUGCACAGAGGCACAGUCCUCUGCAGUUCACAGGGAUGCAUCCUGGUGAGAGCAUAGGACUGGAGGGCGAUGAGCUGGAAAAGGGAGAUAAGGGGACAGACCCUGAACUCUCUUGCCAGCUGAGCCAAGGCUUUUGCACGUUCUCUAGAGAUGAAUGAUUCUCGAGGAAGGAAUCUAUGUAGGGAUGGAGAAGCAGCAUAUCACGGUCUUGAGGUAGGUGUGAGCUUUUUAUUUUUAUCAAAAGGGAGAAUUUCUCAAAAGGCUAAACAUAAAAUUACCAGCAUGACCCAGCAACUCUACGACUAGGCAUAUACCCAAGAGAAUUGAAAAUGGAAACUCAAACAGAUACGUCUAUGCCAACAUCCACAGCAACACUAUUCACAAUAGCUAAAAAGUGGAAAACAGCCCAGAAUCUACCAACAGAUGAAGAGAGAAACACAAUGUGGUAUAUAUGUACAGGGGAGUAUCAGCCACAAAAAGCAGUGAUGCUCUGAUACACGCUACAACAUGGGUGAGCCUUGGAAACAUUUUGCUGAGUGAAAUAAGCCAGACACAAAAGGACGAAUACUGUAUGAUUCCACUUACA